ACGGGAGGCAGCAGUAGGGAAUAUUGCACAAUGGGGGAAACCCUGAUGCAGCGACGCCGCGUGAAGGAUGAAGUAUUUCGGUAUGUAAACUUCUAUCAGCAAGGAAGAAAAUGACGGUACUUGACUAAGAAGCCCCGGCUAAAUACGUGCCAGCAGCCGCGGUAAUACGUAUGGGGCAAGCGUUAUCCGGAUUUACUGGGUGUAAAGGGAGUGUAGGCGGUACGGCAAGUCAGAAGUGAAAGCUCGGGGCUCAACCUCGGAAUUGCUUUUGAAACUGUCGAACUAGAGUGUCGGAGGGGUAAGCGGAAUUCCUAGUGUAGCGGUGAAAUGCGUAGAUAUUAGGAGGAACACCAGUGGCGAAGGCGGCUUACUGGACGACUACUGACGCUGAGGCUCGAAAGCGUGGGGAGCAAACAGGAUUAGAUACCCUGGUA
Molecule: ribosomal RNA, 434 nt
Filed under: uncultured Anaerostipes sp.
Lineage: Bacteria; Bacillati; Bacillota; Clostridia; Lachnospirales; Lachnospiraceae
Description: partial 16S ribosomal RNA
Rfam family: Bacterial small subunit ribosomal RNA
Source: RNAcentral